Molecule: long non-coding RNA, 260 nt
Organism: Gallus gallus (chicken)
Lineage: Eukaryota; Metazoa; Chordata; Aves; Galliformes; Phasianidae
Source: Ensembl
GGCCUGAAGGAGGGGAAGAAGAUGAUCUUGAAGUCCAAAAUUACAUUACUGUCAUCGAGAUCAGAAUUGGGAUAAUGUGGAAUAACAGAGCACCAUACCUGGAGUGUGGGAUAGUACAGUUCGGAGAUGGUACCUGGAGACCCAUCUGUUUGUACAUGAUUUCAACGUAAUCUGUAACUACAUUGCCUUUGUAAAGAUGUUACUUAAAAAUGGAAGAGAAUACUUGUUAGAAACAUGAGCUGCGUCUAAUUCACAAGAGC